Glycine max (soybean) is the source of this 74-nucleotide non-coding RNA. The record is from Rfam. NCBI's taxonomy places the organism in Eukaryota, Viridiplantae, Streptophyta, Magnoliopsida, Fabales, Fabaceae.
GACUCAUUAGUUUAAUUGGUUAGAACAUUAUGCUAAUAAUCUGAAAGUUAUAAGUUUGAGCCUUGUUUGGGUCA